UCUAAUGUAUGCCUAUUAUUUCCUCUGUGCUAUAGGGAAAAGGCCGUGGUGGAAAAGGUUGAUCACAGACUCAGAUUGCUCAGUUCAUUUUUGGCUUUGUAUGUUCACCUAUUAUGCUCUACUAUCACUUUACUACUGAGAUAUUGAGCAUGUACCUGAGCAUUAUUGCAAUUUUCAGUGUCGGAUUUUUUGGAGAUUGAGGUAGCAUCUGUCGGAUCUCAAAGCUUACUCAGAUCUCAUCUUCUUUUAUCUCAUGUGUAAUCGCAUUUGAUAUAUUUUAGACUAAUUUAUUAUAUUCGAUAUUAGAGACAUGUACUAGUGACAAUCACACCUGAAAUAUUGUAUUGAUAUUGUACUUCUUUUUAUAUCAUUUGUGGAUUAUUUUCA
Molecule: long non-coding RNA, 387 nt
Organism: Capsicum annuum
Lineage: Eukaryota; Viridiplantae; Streptophyta; Magnoliopsida; Solanales; Solanaceae
Exons: 2
Source: RefSeq, a predicted model, not a curated record